Rattus norvegicus (Norway rat) is the source of this 1157-nucleotide non-coding RNA. Lineage: Eukaryota; Metazoa; Chordata; Mammalia; Rodentia; Muridae. The record is from RefSeq and is a predicted model, not a curated record.
CACCCACCCUGCUGGGCUAUUGGAAAGUUGUGUUGGGUAAAGGCAGAGAGAGGAAGUACAUGGGGUAGCCAUGUUAAAGGAACCUAAUAACAGAACCUUUAGUUUAUGCCCAGAGUGGCCUCAACGUUAAAAUCCUCCUGUUUCAGCCUGCUACUGCUGGGAUUACAAGUGUGUAACACCAUUUCCGGGUCAGUACCAGCUGGCCUCUACAGGUGCAUCUCUUGAACGGCUCUGGAUCCUGCACCUCGACAAUCCACAUUAACCCUCACACGAGAUGUGAUCUGUGUUUCGCUGUGGCACUGAUCCCCGACUGCAAUCGAGUGUGCCUCUCACAGACUGAACUCCACAAGAACUCCAUGAACUCCAACUCAUUCUUUCCCUUCAUGGACACAGAAUUUUGCAGUGCGGCCCCUGGAGAGGAUUCUACACAAGGGAGAUGCAAGAACUAGCUAUAAGUUAUUGACAGACGGCCGUACGGAAGAACCUAUUUGCUCUGAGAACCACUGAGACUGUCUAGACUGGAAUGUUUCCACUGGUGUCAGCUGAACAUGGUGGCCUCUAACCCCUGCUUUGAUGAGGGAGAUCUCUGAGUUCCAGGCCAGCCUGGUCUACACGGUGAGACUGUCUUAAAAGAGACAGACAGACAGACAAGAGCAAAGCAAAAACUUAUAAAAAAAAACCCAAAUCAACUGAUUGAUAUUAAGUUUUUUGCAGGUAAGCAGUCAGCAAUUGAGCGGGCUGUCCCAGCACCGCUGGUGUUCACUAUGCAGAGACAUAGGGACUGCCUACUGACCUUGGCCUUGGAUUCAGAUGUACCUGUAUUUUAACACCAGUUUCACUAUUUAUUACGUGUGUGAUCUAGAGCAAAUACAUUUUCUGCCUCUUAAAAUGGGAGAUAGAAAGCUAGGUGGUGAUAGUACAUACCUUGAAUCCUAGCACUCGAGAGGAAGAAGCAAGUGGAUCUUGAUGAGUUCAAGGCUAGCCUGGUCUACAGAGUGAGUUCCAGGGCAGCCAGGACUACACAGAAAACCAUGUUUCAAACAUCAUCAUCAUCAUCAUCAUCAUCAUAAUCAUCAUCAUCAUCAUCAUCUAAUGGUAUAUUAUGACUUAUUAUUAUUGUUAAAAUAAAUAAAAAUAAGAGGUAGAGACUAGAAAAA